ACUUGGGGGCGGCGCGCCGGGGCCUGGCGCUCGGUCGGCGGGUGCUGCCGCUUUAAGCGGGGGCGGGACUGCGCGCGGCCGAGCGGUUGCGACGAGGGCUCGGCUGGGGGUCGCCGGGGUCGCGGGCCGGGCCUGCAGGAGCCGGGCCGCCGAGGUCGGGGCUGGUUGAACUCAUGGACCUGAUACUUUUCUCUUGAGAAGCAAACCAGCCCAAAAGAAAAAUGGCGUUUGUUGCAACACAGGGGGCCACGGUGGUUGACCAGACCACUUUGAUGAAAAAGUACCUUCAGUUUGUGGCAGCUCUCACAGAUGUGAAUACACCUGAUGAAACAAAGUUGAAAAUGAUGCAAGAAGUUAGUGAAAAUUUUGAGAAUGUCACGUCAUCUCCUCAGUAUUCUACAUUCCUAGAACAUAUCAUCCCUCGAUUCCUUACAUUUCUCCAAGAUGGAGAAGUUCAGUUUCUUCAGGAGAAACCAGCACAGCAACUGCGGAAGCUCGUACUUGAAAUAAUUCAUAGAAUACCAACCAACGAACAUCUUCGUCCUCACACAAAAAAUGUUUUGUCUGUGAUGUUUCGCUUUUUAGAGACGGAAAAUGAAGAAAAUGUUCUUAUUUGUCUAAGAAUAAUUAUUGAGCUACACAAACAGUUCAGGCCACCGAUCACACAAGAAAUUCAUCAUUUUCUGGAUUUUGUGAAACAGAUUUACAAGGAGCUUCCAAAAGUAGUGAACCGCUACUUUGAGAACCCUCAAGUGAUCCCCGAGAACACAGUGCCUCCCCCAGAAAUGGUUGGUAUGAUAACAACGAUUGCUGUGAAAGUCAACCCGGAGCGUGAAGACAGUGAGACUCGAACACAUUCCAUCAUUCCGAGGGGAUCACUUUCUCUGAAAGUGUUGGCAGAAUUGCCCAUUAUUGUUGUUUUAAUGUAUCAGCUCUACAAACUGAACAUCCACAAUGUUGUUGCUGAGUUUGUGCCCUUGAUCAUGAACACCAUUGCCAUUCAGGUGUCUGCACAAGCGAGGCAACAUAAGCUUUACAACAAGGAGUUGUAUGCUGACUUCAUUGCUGCUCAGAUUAAAACAUUGUCAUUUUUAGCUUACAUUAUCAGGAUUUACCAGGAGUUGGUGACUAAGUAUUCUCAGCAGAUGGUGAAAGGAAUGCUCCAGUUACUUUCAAAUUGUCCAGCAGAGACUGCACACCUCAGAAAGGAGCUUCUGAUUGCUGCCAAACACAUCCUCACCACAGAGCUGAGAAACCAGUUCAUUCCUUGCAUGGACAAGCUGUUUGAUGAAUCCAUACUAAUUGGCUCAGGAUAUACUGCCAGAGAGACUCUAAGGCCCCUCGCCUACAGCACGCUGGCCGACCUCGUGCACCAUGUCCGCCAGCACCUGCCCCUCAGCGACCUCUCCCUCGCCGUCCAGCUCUUCGCCAAGAACAUCGACGAUGAGUCCCUGCCCAGCAGCAUCCAGACCAUGUCCUGCAAGCUCCUGCUGAACCUGGUGGACUGCAUCCGUUCCAAGAGCGAGCAGGAGAGUGGCAAUGGGAGAGACGUCCUGAUGCGGAUGCUGGAGGUUUUCGUUCUCAAAUUCCACACAAUUGCUCGGUACCAGCUCUCUGCCAUUUUUAAGAAGUGUAAGCCUCAGUCAGAACUUGGAGCCGUGGAAGCAGCUCUGCCUGGGGUGCCCACUGCCCCUGCAGCUCCUGGCCCUGCUCCCUCCCCAGCCCCUGUCCCUGCCCCACCUCCACCCCCGCCCCCACCCCCACCUGCCACCCCUGUGACCCCGGCCCCCGUGCCUCCCUUCGAGAAGCAAGGAGAAAAGGACAAGGAAGACAAGCAGACAUUCCAAGUCACAGACUGUCGAAGUUUGGUCAAAACCUUGGUGUGUGGUGUCAAGACAAUCACGUGGGGCAUAACAUCAUGCAAAGCACCUGGUGAAGCUCAGUUCAUUCCCAACAAGCAGUUACAACCCAAAGAGACACAGAUUUACAUCAAACUUGUGAAAUAUGCAAUGCAAGCUUUAGAUAUUUAUCAGGUCCAGAUAGCAGGAAAUGGACAGACAUACAUCCGCGUGGCCAACUGCCAGACUGUGAGAAUGAAAGAGGAGAAGGAGGUAUUGGAGCAUUUCGCUGGUGUGUUCACAAUGAUGAACCCCUUAACGUUCAAAGAAAUCUUCCAAACUACGGUCCCUUAUAUGGUGGAGAGAAUCUCAAAAAAUUAUGCUCUUCAGAUUGUUGCCAAUUCCUUCUUGGCAAAUCCUACUACCUCUGCUCUGUUUGCUACCAUUCUGGUGGAAUAUCUCCUUGAUCGCCUUCCAGAAAUGGGCUCCAACGUGGAGCUCUCCAACCUGUACCUCAAGCUGUUUAAGCUGGUCUUUGGCUCUGUCUCCCUCUUUGCAGCUGAAAAUGAACAAAUGCUGAAGCCUCACUUGCACAAGAUUGUGAACAGCUCUAUGGAGCUCGCGCAGACUGCCAAGGAACCCUACAACUACUUCUUGCUGCUACGGGCGCUGUUUCGCUCUAUUGGUGGAGGUAGCCACGAUCUCUUGUAUCAGGAGUUCUUGCCUCUCCUUCCAAACCUCCUGCAAGGGCUGAACAUGCUUCAGAGUGGCCUGCACAAGCAGCACAUGAAGGACCUCUUUGUGGAGCUGUGUCUCACCGUCCCCGUGCGGCUGAGCUCGCUCUUGCCGUACCUGCCCAUGCUUAUGGAUCCCUUGGUGUCUGCACUCAAUGGGUCUCAGACAUUGGUCAGCCAAGGCCUCAGGACGCUGGAGCUGUGUGUGGACAACCUGCAGCCCGACUUCCUCUAUGACCACAUCCAGCCGGUGCGCGCAGAGCUCAUGCAGGCUCUGUGGCGCACCUUACGCAACCCUGCUGACAGCAUCUCCCACGUGGCCUACCGUGUGCUCGGUAAGUUUGGCGGCAGUAACAGGAAGAUGCUGAAGGAGUCGCAGAAGCUGCACUACGUUGUGACCGAGGUUCAGGGCCCCAGCAUCACUGUGGAGUUUUCCGACUGCAAAGCUUCUCUCCAGCUCCCCAUGGAGAAGGCCAUUGAAACUGCUCUGGACUGCCUGAAAAGCGCCAACACUGAGCCCUACUACCGGAGGCAGGCGUGGGAAGUGAUCAAAUGCUUCCUGGUGGCCAUGAUGAGCCUGGAGGACAACAAGCACGCACUCUACCAGCUCCUGGCACACCCCAACUUUACAGAAAAGACCAUCCCCAAUGUUAUCAUCUCACAUCGCUACAAAGCCCAGGACACUCCAGCCAGGAAGACUUUUGAGCAGGCCCUGACAGGUGCCUUCAUGUCUGCUGUCAUUAAGGACCUGCGGCCCAGCGCCCUGCCCUUCGUCGCCAGCUUGAUCCGCCACUAUACGAUGGUGGCAGUCGCCCAGCAGUGUGGCCCUUUCUUGCUGCCUUGCUACCAGGUGGGCAGCCAGCCCAGCACAGCCAUGUUUCACAGUGAAGAAAAUGGCUCGAAAGGAAUGGAUCCUUUGGUUCUCAUUGACGCAAUUGCUAUUUGUAUGGCAUAUGAAGAAAAGGAGCUUUGCAAAAUCGGGGAGGUGGCCCUAGCUGUGAUAUUUGAUGUUGCAAGUAUCAUCCUGGGCUCCAAGGAGAGGGCCUGCCAGCUGCCCCUGUUUUCUUAUAUCGUGGAGCGCCUGUGUGCAUGUUGUUAUGAACAGGCGUGGUAUGCAAAGCUGGGGGGUGUGGUGUCUAUUAAGUUUCUCAUGGAGCGGCUGCCUCUCACUUGGGUUCUCCAGAACCAGCAGACAUUCCUGAAAGCACUUCUCUUUGUCAUGAUGGACUUAACUGGAGAGGUUUCCAAUGGGGCAGUCGCCAUGGCAAAGACCACCCUGGAGCAGCUUCUGAUGCGGUGCGCAACGCCUUUAAAAGACGAGGAGAGAGCCGAAGAGAUCGUGGCUGCCCAGGAAAAGUCUUUCCACCAUGUGACACACGACUUGGUUCGAGAAGUCACCUCUCCAAACUCCACUGUGAGGAAACAGGCCAUGCAUUCGCUGCAGGUGUUGGCCCAGGUCACUGGGAAGAGUGUCACGGUGAUCAUGGAACCCCACAAAGAGGUCCUGCAGGAUAUGGUCCCCCCUAAGAAGCACCUGCUCCGACACCAGCCUGCCAAUGCACAGAUUGGCCUGAUGGAGGGGAACACGUUCUGUACCACGUUGCAGCCCAGGCUCUUCACAAUGGACCUUAACGUGGUGGAGCAUAAGGUGUUCUACACAGAGCUGUUGAAUUUGUGUGAGGCUGAAGACUCAGCUUUAACAAAACUGCCCUGUUAUAAAAGCCUUCCAUCACUCGUACCUUUACGAAUUGCGGCAUUAAAUGCACUUGCUGCCUGCAAUUACCUUCCACAGUCCAGGGAGAAAAUCAUCGCUGCACUCUUCAAAGCCCUGAAUUCCACCAAUAGUGAGCUCCAAGAGGCUGGAGAAGCCUGUAUGAGAAAGUUUUUAGAAGGUGCUACCAUAGAAGUCGAUCAAAUCCACACACAUAUGCGACCUUUGCUGAUGAUGCUGGGAGAUUACCGGAGCUUGACGCUGAAUGUUGUGAAUCGCCUGACUUCGGUCACGAGGCUCUUCCCAAAUUCCUUCAAUGAUAAAUUUUGUGAUCAGAUGAUGCAACAUCUGCGCAAGUGGAUGGAAGUGGUGGUGAUCACCCACAAAGGGGGCCAGAGGAGCGACGGAAACGAAAGCAUUUCCGAGUGCGGGAGAUGUCCCUUGUCUCCAUUCUGUCAGUUUGAGCCUGCCAUGGAAGGGGUAGAGGAAAUGAAGAUUUGCUCAGCAAUUAUAAACCUUUUUCAUCUGAUCCCGGCUGCUCCUCAGACACUGGUGAAGCCUUUGCUAGAGGUUGUCAUGAAAACGGAGCGGGCGAUGCUGAUCGAGGCGGGGAGUCCAUUCCGAGAGCCCCUGAUCAAGUUCCUGACUCGACAUCCCUCGCAGACAGUGGAGCUGUUCAUGAUGGAAGCCACACUGAACGAUCCCCAGUGGAGCAGAAUGUUUAUGAGUUUUUUAAAACACAAAGAUGCCAGACCUCUGCGGGAUGUGCUGGCUGCCAACCCCAACAGGUUCAUCACCCUGCUGCUGCCGGGGGGUGCCCAGACGGCCGUGCGCCCCGGUUCGCCCAGCACCAGCACCAUGCGCCUGGACCUCCAGUUCCAGGCCAUCAAGAUCAUAAGCAUUAUAGUGAAAAACGAUGACUCCUGGCUGGCCAGCCAGCACUCUCUGGUGAGCCAGUUGCGACGUGUGUGGGUGAGUGAGAACUUCCAAGAGAGGCACCGCAAGGAGAACAUGGCAGCCACCAACUGGAAGGAGCCCAAGCUGCUGGCCUACUGCCUGCUGAACUACUGCAAAAGGAAUUACGGAGAUAUAGAAUUGCUGUUCCAGCUGCUCCGAGCCUUUACUGGUCGUUUUCUCUGCAACAUGACAUUCUUAAAAGAGUAUAUGGAGGAAGAGAUUCCCAAAAAUUACAGCAUUGCUCAGAAACGUGCCCUGUUCUUUCGCUUUGUAGACUUCAACGACCCCAACUUCGGAGAUGAAUUAAAAGCUAAAGUUCUGCAGCAUAUCUUGAAUCCUGCUUUCUUGUACAGCUUUGAGAAGGGGGAAGGAGAGCAGCUCUUGGGACCUCCCAAUCCAGAAGGAGAUAACCCAGAAAGCAUCACCAGUGUGUUUAUUACCAAGGUCCUGGACCCCGAGAAGCAGGCGGACAUGCUGGACUCGCUGCGGAUCUACCUGCUGCAGUACGCCACGCUGCUGGUGGAGCACGCCCCCCACCACAUCCAUGACAACAACAAGAACCGCAACAGCAAGCUGCGCCGCCUCAUGACCUUCGCCUGGCCCUGCCUGCUCUCCAAGGCCUGCGUGGACCCGGCCUGCAAGUACAGCGGACACUUGCUCCUGGCGCACAUUAUCGCCAAAUUCGCCAUACACAAGAAGAUCGUCCUGCAGGUUUUUCAUAGUCUCCUCAAGGCUCAUGCAAUGGAAGCUCGAGCGAUCGUCAGACAGGCGAUGGCCAUUCUGACCCCGGCGGUGCCGGCCAGGAUGGAGGACGGGCACCAGAUGCUGACCCACUGGACCCGGAAGAUCAUUGUGGAGGAGGGGCACACCGUCCCGCAGCUGGUCCACAUUCUGCACCUGAUAGUGCAACACUUCAAGGUAUACUACCCGGUACGGCACCACUUGGUGCAGCACAUGGUGAGCGCCAUGCAGAGGCUGGGCUUCACGCCCAGUGUCACCAUCGAGCAGAGGCGGCUGGCCGUGGACCUGUCUGAAGUCGUCAUCAAGUGGGAGCUGCAGAGGAUCAAGGACCAGCAGCCGGAUUCAGAUAUGGACCCAAAUUCCAGUGGAGAAGGAGUCAAUUCUGUCUCAUCCUCCAUUAAGAGAGGCCUGUCCGUGGAUUCUGCCCAGGAAGUGAAACGCUUUAGGACGGCCACCGGAGCCAUCAGUGCAGUCUUUGGGAGGAGCCAGUCGCUACCUGGAGCAGACUCUCUCCUCGCCAAGCCCAUUGACAAGCAGCACACAGACACUGUGGUGAACUUCCUUAUCCGCGUGGCCUGUCAGGUUAAUGACAACACCAACACAGCGGGGUCCCCUGGGGAGGUGCUCUCUCGCCGGUGUGUGAACCUUCUGAAGACUGCGUUGCGGCCAGACAUGUGGCCCAAGUCCGAACUCAAGCUGCAGUGGUUCGACAAGCUGCUGAUGACUGUGGAGCAGCCAAACCAAGUGAACUAUGGGAAUAUCUGCACGGGCCUAGAAGUGCUGAGCUUCCUGCUAACUGUCCUCCAGUCCCCAGCCAUCCUCAGUAGCUUCAAACCUCUGCAGCGUGGAAUUGCCGCCUGCAUGACAUGUGGAAACACCAAGGUGUUGCGAGCCGUCCACAGCCUUCUCUCGCGCCUGAUGAGCAUUUUCCCAACAGAGCCGAGUACUUCCAGUGUGGCCUCCAAAUAUGAAGAGCUGGAGUGCCUCUACGCAGCCGUCGGAAAGGUCAUCUAUGAAGGGCUCACCAACUACGAGAAGGCCACCAAUGCCAAUCCCUCCCAGCUCUUCGGGACCCUUAUGAUCCUCAAGUCUGCCUGCAGCAACAACCCCAGCUACAUAGACAGGCUGAUCUCCGUCUUUAUGCGCUCCCUUCAGAAGAUGGUCCGGGAGCAUUUAAACCCUCAGGCAGCGUCAGGAAGCACCGAAGCCACCUCAGGUACAAGCGAGCUGGUGAUGCUGAGUCUGGAGCUGGUGAAGACGCGCCUGGCAGUGAUGAGCAUGGAGAUGCGGAAGAACUUCAUCCAGGCCAUCCUGACAUCCCUCAUCGAAAAAUCACCAGAUGCCAAAAUCCUCCGGGCUGUGGUCAAAAUCGUGGAAGAAUGGGUCAAGAAUAACUCCCCAAUGGCAGCCAAUCAGACACCUACACUCCGGGAGAAGUCCAUUUUGCUUGUGAAGAUGAUGACUUACAUAGAAAAACGCUUUCCGGAAGACCUUGAAUUAAAUGCCCAGUUUUUAGAUCUUGUUAACUAUGUCUACAGGGAUGAGACCCUCUCUGGCAGCGAGCUGACGGCGAAACUUGAGCCUGCCUUUCUCUCUGGGCUGCGCUGUGCCCAGCCACUCAUCAGGGCAAAGUUUUUCGAGGUUUUUGACAACUCCAUGAAACGUCGUGUCUACGAGCGCCUGCUCUAUGUGACCUGUUCGCAGAACUGGGAAGCCAUGGGGAACCACUUCUGGAUCAAGCAGUGCAUUGAGCUGCUUCUGGCCGUGUGUGAGAAGAGCACCCCCAUUGGCACCAGCUGCCAAGGAGCCAUGCUCCCGUCCAUCACCAACGUCAUCAACCUGGCCGAUAGCCACGACCGUGCCGCCUUCGCCAUGGUCACACAUGUCAAGCAGGAGCCCCGGGAGCGGGAGAACAGCGAGUCCAAAGAGGAGGAUGUAGAGAUAGACAUCGAACUAGCUCCUGGGGAUCAGACCAGCACGCCCAAAACCAAAGAACUUUCAGAAAAGGACAUUGGAAACCAGCUGCACAUGCUAACCAACAGGCACGACAAGUUUCUGGACACUCUCCGAGAGGUGAAGACUGGAGCGCUGCUCAGCGCUUUCGUUCAGCUGUGCCACAUUUCCACGACGCUGGCAGAGAAGACGUGGGUCCAGCUUUUCCCCAGAUUGUGGAAGAUCCUCUCUGACAGACAGCAGCAUGCACUCGCGGGCGAGAUAAGUCCAUUUCUGUGCAGCGGCAGUCACCAGGUGCAGCGGGACUGCCAGCCCAGCGCGCUGAACUGCUUUGUGGAAGCCAUGUCCCAGUGCGUGCCGCCAAUCCCCAUCCGACCCUGCGUCCUGAAGUACCUGGGGAAGACACACAACCUCUGGUUCCGGUCCACGCUGAUGCUGGAGCACCAGGCUUUUGAAAAGGGUCUGAGUCUUCAGAUUAAGCCGAAGCAAACAACGGAGUUUUAUGAGCAGGAGAGCAUCACCCCGCCACAGCAGGAGAUACUGGAUUCCCUUGCGGAGCUUUACUCCCUGUUACAAGAGGAAGAUAUGUGGGCUGGUCUGUGGCAGAAGCGGUGCAAGUACUCGGAGACAGCGACUGCGAUUGCUUACGAGCAGCACGGGUUCUUUGAGCAGGCACAAGAAUCCUAUGAAAAGGCAAUGGAUAAAGCCAAAAAAGAACAUGAGAGGAGUAACGCCUCCCCUGCUAUUUUCCCUGAAUACCAGCUCUGGGAAGACCACUGGAUUCGAUGCUCCAAGGAAUUGAACCAGUGGGAAGCCCUGACGGAGUACGGCCAGUCCAAAGGCCACAUCAACCCCUACCUCGUCCUGGAGUGCGCCUGGCGGGUGUCCAACUGGACUGCCAUGAAGGAGGCGCUGGUGCAGGUGGAAGUGAGCUGUCCGAAGGAGAUGGCCUGGAAGGUGAACAUGUACCGCGGAUACCUGGCCAUCUGCCACCCCGAGGAGCAGCAGCUCAGCUUCAUCGAGCGCCUGGUGGAGAUGGCCAGCAGCCUGGCCAUCCGCGAGUGGCGGCGGCUGCCCCACGUAGUGUCCCACGUGCACACGCCUCUCCUACAGGCAGCCCAGCAAAUCAUCGAACUCCAGGAAGCUGCACAAAUCAACGCAGGCUUACAGCCGACCAACCUGGGAAGGAACAACAGCCUGCACGACAUGAAGACGGUGGUGAAGACCUGGAGGAACCGACUGCCCAUCGUGUCUGACGACUUGUCCCACUGGAGCAGCAUCUUCAUGUGGAGGCAGCAUCAUUACCAGGGUAAACCGACCUGGUCCGGCAUGCAUUCAUCAUCGAUUGUAACUGCCUAUGAGAAUAGCUCUCAGCAUGAUCCCAGUUCAAAUAACGCUAUGCUUGGGGUUCAUGCAUCAGCUUCAGCGAUCAUCCAGUAUGGAAAAAUCGCCCGGAAACAAGGACUGGUCAAUGUAGCACUGGAUAUAUUAAGUCGGAUUCAUACUAUUCCAACUGUUCCUAUCGUGGAUUGCUUCCAGAAGAUUCGACAGCAAGUUAAAUGCUACCUCCAGCUGGCAGGCGUCAUGGGCAAAAACGAGUGCAUGCAGGGCCUUGAAGUUAUUGAAUCUACAAAUUUAAAAUACUUCACAAAAGAGAUGACAGCCGAAUUUUAUGCACUGAAGGGAAUGUUCUUGGCUCAGAUCAACAAGUCCGAGGAGGCAAACAAAGCCUUCUCUGCAGCUGUGCAGAUGCACGAUGUGCUGGUGAAAGCCUGGGCCAUGUGGGGCGACUACCUGGAGAACAUCUUCGUGAAGGAGCGGCAGCUGCACCUGGGCGUGUCUGCCAUCACCUGCUACCUGCACGCCUGCCGGCAUCAGAACGAGAGCAAAUCGAGGAAAUACUUAGCCAAGGUGCUGUGGCUUUUGAGUUUUGAUGAUGACAAAAACACUUUGGCAGAUGCCGUCGACAAGUACUGCAUUGGUGUGCCACCCAUCCAGUGGCUGGCCUGGAUCCCACAGCUGCUCACCUGCCUGGUUGGCUCGGAGGGAAAGCUGCUCUUGAACCUCAUUAGCCAGGUUGGACGCGUGUAUCCCCAAGCGGUCUACUUUCCCAUCCGGACCCUGUACCUGACCCUGAAAAUAGAACAGCGGGAACGCUACAAGAGCGAUUCUGGACAGCAGCAGCCAAGUUCAGUGGGUAACCAGUCCCAUUCUGCAUCAGAUCCAGGGCCCAUAAGAGCAACAGCACCCAUGUGGCGCUGCAGCCGAAUCAUGCACAUGCAGCGAGAGCUCCACCCCACCCUUCUGUCUUCCCUGGAAGGCAUCGUCGAUCAGAUGGUCUGGUUCAGAGAAAAUUGGCAUGAAGAGGUUCUCAGGCAGCUCCAACAGGGCCUGGCGAAAUGUUACUCCGUGGCGUUUGAGAAAAGUGGAGCGGUGUCCGAUGCUAAAAUCACCCCCCACACUCUCAAUUUUGUGAAGAAGUUGGUGAGCACGUUUGGGGUGGGCCUGGAGAAUGUGUCCAACGUCUCGACCAUGUUCUCCAGCGCAGCCUCUGAGUCUCUGGCCCGGCGGGCGCAGGCCACUGCACAAGACCCUGUCUUUCAGAAGCUGAAAGGCCAGUUCACAACGGAUUUUGACUUCAGCGUUCCAGGAUCCAUGAAGCUUCAUAAUCUUAUUUCUAAGCUGAAAAAGUGGAUCAAAAUCUUGGAGGCCAAGACCAAGCAACUCCCCAAAUUCUUCCUCAUAGAGGAAAAGUGCCGGUUCUUGAGCAAUUUCUCGGCACAGACAGCUGAAGUGGAAAUUCCCGGGGAGUUUCUGAUGCCAAAGCCAACGCAUUAUUACAUCAAGAUUGCACGGUUCAUGCCCCGGGUAGAGAUUGUGCAGAAGCACAACACUGCAGCCCGGCGGCUGUACAUCCGGGGACACAACGGCAAGAUCUACCCAUACCUCGUCAUGAACGACGCCUGCCUCACAGAGUCACGGCGAGAGGAGCGUGUGUUGCAGCUGCUGCGUCUGCUGAACCCCUGUUUGGAGAAGAGAAAGGAGACCACCAAGAGGCACUUGUUUUUCACAGUGCCCCGGGUUGUGGCGGUUUCCCCACAGAUGCGCCUCGUGGAGGACAACCCCUCUUCACUUUCCCUUGUGGAGAUCUACAAGCAGCGCUGCACCAAGAAGGGCAUCGAGCAUGACAACCCCAUCUCCCGUUACUAUGACCGGCUGGCUACGGUGCAGGCGCGGGGAACCCAAGCCAGCCACCAGGUCCUCCGCGACAUCCUCAAGGAGGUUCAGAGUAACAUGGUGCCGCGCAGCAUGCUCAAGGAGUGGGCGCUGCACACCUUCCCCAAUGCCACGGACUACUGGACGUUCCGGAAGAUGUUCACCAUCCAGCUGGCUCUGAUAGGCUUCGCGGAAUUCGUCCUGCAUUUAAAUAGACUCAACCCCGAGAUGUUACAGAUCGCUCAGGACACUGGCAAACUGAAUGUUGCCUACUUUCGAUUUGACAUAAACGACGCGACUGGAGACCUGGAUGCCAACCGUCCUGUCCCAUUUCGACUCACGCCCAACAUUUCUGAGUUUCUGACCACCAUCGGGGUCUCCGGCCCGUUGACAGCGUCCAUGAUUGCGGUCGCCCGGUGCUUCGCCCAGCCAAACUUUAAGGUGGAUGGCAUUCUGAAAACGGUUCUCCGGGACGAGAUCAUUGCUUGGCACAAAAAAACGCAGGAGGACACGUCCUCUCCUCUCUCGGCCGCCGGGCAGCCAGAGAACAUGGACAGCCAGCAACUGGUGUCCCUGGUUCAGAAAGCCGUCACCGCCAUCAUGACCCGCCUGCACAACCUCGCCCAGUUCGAAGGCGGGGAAAGCAAGGUGAACACCCUGGUGGCCGCGGCAAACAGCCUGGACAAUCUGUGCCGCAUGGACCCCGCCUGGCACCCCUGGCUGUGACUGUGGCCGCCACGGCUACCCGGAAUGUGAAGGGCGCCCCGGGCUCUGAGCCCGCAGCUUUUACGACUUCUCCCUGCCUCGUUCCUUAUAUUCACAGAAGCCCCAUAGUUUCACUGGGUUGCAGUUAUUUUCCUGGUAGUUUGCGUGUGAGAGAGGGAGAAUAUAGUUUUAGAGGAAGCUGAACUAUGACGAUGCUGGGCGAAGCGGUUGGAAAUGGCAGAGCUGAAACUUAUUCCAGGCUUUCAAAAUAAUCUUUUAAGAAGCCAGGAUUCUCCGGUCUGGAAUUUCUGGGACUGCUGCCAUGUAACGUGUGUGUGUGGAGCGUGUGCGGAGUGUACCCGAAGCAUGCCCGGAGGCUCAGCAUGAAGCACUCUGUACCCAGCUCUACCUCCUCAUUGUCCUUCAUCCAGUGUGUACCUUCAGCCAGGCCUGCCCUCGUGUGGGAGGGGCAGUCCCCAAGGAGCACCACGCCAUGAUGUCAGAAACAUCUUCUUCGAGGAAGAUGGCCCUUUACAGGCCCCAGGGGACGGGGGCAGCACGGAGCCCUCUCUGACCUCUGCCGCAGGCCACAGAACUUUCUCCAGCCCUUGACUCUCCUUGCCUUUCAUUUACCCUCCAUUGUUCCAGGCUACCACGGAAUGAUGAUUACAGCUGAGUUUACCCAAAUCCCACCACAGGGUCAAAUGAAAGGGCCUUGACAAGAUGUCCCUUGGCAGCUUGAGAUCGCAGUUGUGUUGCUGGGUUAUGGCCUGGGUACAGGCUGGUUUGCAGUGGGCGGUACUGGCAGCUACCAUCAAGGUCUCUGUGCUGGGCUCCAGCCCUCAGCCCAGAGGGGUGGUUCCCCACUUUAUAGAGAGGGGGUUUCCAGCUCACAGAAGGUGAGAAGCUUGUCCCAGGCCUGGAUUAGCUGUGGAGAAACUGGGAGGGAAGCCCGUCCAGCCUGAUUCCAAGCCCACAUGCUGCUCACAGGUCAAGGCCAAGGGACUGAUUUUUGCCAGUCUGACUGGACUCAAGUUACUUCCCAGUUCCUUGCAGAGAGCUGCCUUUGUAAGACGGUGUCUUGGGUUCUGGAAUGAUGGGAGCCGUGCUUUGCAAAUGAGGAGUGAUUGCGUGCUCAUCUGGCAGCUGGUGGGUGUCCUGCUGGCGUCAGGCCUGAGCGGUGACCGUGCUCCUCUGAUUGUCCUCACUGCGUGUGACAAGGCCUGGGCCACUGUGUGAGUCGUCUUGCGCUCCAUGAAGCCUCGUAUCUGUGCAGAUGUGUGGGUGGCGUUAGCGGGUUGGGGGACAUUUGUCUUUCACACUGGAGAAUGGGAGUCUGGAGCUACUGGUGAGGAAGAGGCCCGGCCUGCUGCCAGGUUCACCCACACCUUCCCCCUGGUUGUUGGGAAAACCAACCUUGGAAUGGCCAAGGCAGGAGAUAGCACCUCCCCAGUGAAGAUCCAGGAGCUCUCAUGAGCUCCACGUGGAAAGAUCAAGGAUCUGGAGUCUGGAGCCCUUCAGGCAGCAACUCAGUGACCAUGAACCUCAGCUCUGUCCACCCGGCACAGCAUUGCUGGGAGCUGGACCCGGGAGGCUGCCGGCUCCAGAGUGAGGAGGGUCCAGACCAUGCAGACAAUAUGCCCUUUUUCUCCAAACACCAUUUCAAGCAAACCCGCAGGUCUCCUCCACGGCUGUCAGCAGCUUCUCGUAGAGCUUCUCAUAGGACUCAUAUGGUGGAAUGUCGAUCCGGUUAAAGCUGAAAAAGGACAAAAGAGAGUCACCGUGUGGGCAGUCCAGCCCUAGGACCAACCUCAAGGCCAAGGACAGGCAGUGAGAAAGACAGGGUCUCGCUAGGUUGCCCAGGCUGCUCUCAAACUCCUGGCCUCAAGUGAACCUCCUGCCUUGCCCUCUCAACGUGCUGGGAGCCACUGUGCCCAAUCAACACACAGUAAAGGGGAAGCUCAUUUCCAGUAUUUGUGCAAAGAAAAAGACAUCCUUUAAGAAGCUAUCGUAGCAAACCAAAAAAUACAAAAUUGUGACCCAGAGGAUGUACAGUGACUUCUGGCUUUCUAGGGUGCUGUGGCUUUUGAGUUCUGAUGACGACAAAAAUAUUUUGGCAGAGACUCCAUCUCAAAAAACAAAAAACAACAACAAAAAAAACGUGAACGUCAGCAUCCUCUGGGGCUCCCAGGACGCCGUGACUUCCUGGCCGCGGUGCUUACCAGGGUGGCUGAAGCCAGCGCAUGAUGGCCCGACUGCUCCAAGGAGACAUCAGCCCUGCCCAGGCGUGCUUGGUGAGGAGCACUGGAGAAGGGCAAAUGACUUCUCUUGAAAAGACUGAGAUCCACACAGCAGAGAAGGUGAAUGAACAAGCAGCUUACCUGGCCACACCACCGUAAUCCAAACCUUCUUCCCCACGGAAUUUCACCAUCAGCCGUUUUUUCAAGUCUUUCGGUCGCAUCUUCAUUAUCUGGCGGGUCUGGGCAGUGGCCCUGAACUCUCUACCUCGAAGAUUUCUUCUCUGGACACUUCGAUGCGGCAAUGACCAGCUUGGGGCUGCUGAAGCGACAGUUCAUGUCUGAGGACUUUCAGCUUCUGGACUAGAUCUCUUUCGUAUCUCUGGGCAGGAAGCUCCUCGUCCUCCAGAGAGCCCUCGCUGGGCAGUGGCAGCGGCUGGCUGGGCUCCUUGAGUUGGCACUGGUGACUUGAGAAGAAGAGAUGCAGAAAGUCACUCCGAAGCCCCGGCCAGGGGAGCUGCAAGCACCCACGUACGCGACAGGGUCAGAGGAGAGAGCUAGCUGCACACAACUUCAGGGAGAAUUUGUUUCCCUGAUGACGUAACCAGGUACCUAGCUAGCUGUGUCAAACUUGCUGAUGGCCACAUUAGCCUAAAUAUAUGUCUACAGUACCAUAAAGGAGGUACCCCAGGCCGGGCGUGGUGGCUCAAGCCUGUAAUCCCAGCACUUCGGGAGGCUGAGGUGGGUGGACCACCUGAGGUCAGGAGUUCGAGACCAGCCUGGACAACAUGGUGAAACCCGGUCUCUACUAAAAAUACAAAAAAUUAGCCAGGUGUGGUGGUGGGCACUUAUAAUCCCAGCUACUCAGGAGGCUGAGACAGGGAAAUCGCUUGAACCCGGGAGGCAGAGGUUACAGUGAGCUGAGAUUGCACCACUGCCCUCCAGCCUGGGUGACAGAGCCAGACUCUCUCUCUCAAAAAAAAGGAGGUACCACAAUUCCAAGCAAACACUUAUCUCACACAUUACCACCACAAAUAAAAAUGGAAAUAGCUGUCA
Pan troglodytes (chimpanzee) is the source of this 15148-nucleotide RNA transcript. It is a transcript of the gene named transformation/transcription domain associated protein, with no coding region annotated. The transcript is spliced from 80 exons. Lineage: Eukaryota; Metazoa; Chordata; Mammalia; Primates; Hominidae. The record is from RefSeq and is a predicted model, not a curated record.